This 2375-nucleotide ribosomal RNA is filed under the name Triticum aestivum (bread wheat). Its description in RNAcentral is "partial small subunit ribosomal RNA". The record is from RNAcentral. Lineage: Eukaryota; Viridiplantae; Streptophyta; Magnoliopsida; Poales; Poaceae.
GGGACGUGGGAGAUGACGACGCCGGUGGCAACGAGCGCCUCCUGCGCGGCGCGGGAGAGCUGGACGACGUCCCCGAAGGCGGUGAUGGAGAGCGGGCCGCGGACGCCGGCGGCGCGGAGCGCGGCGGAGACGCGCUGGGCGACGCGGCAGACGUUGACGUUCUGGGGGACGUGGCAGUUCUCGAAGUCCCACCACACCGACACCUUGACCGCCUUGCUCUCCUCCUCGUGCUGCCGCCGCCAUCCGGGGCCUCCCGCCACCUCCGAUGACGAGCUGAGGCGGCGGCGGUGGGCGUGUCCCUGGUAGCGGCGGCGGUGGGCGCCCGCGGAGGGGAAGCGGCGGAGGAGGAGCUGCGGCAACAUGGCUGGGGGUUCGGAUCGGCGCCGCCUCUCCCUCUGGGCCGGGGUGGGAUUGCGGUUCGUGCCAGGGUUUUGUUAAACCCCUUUUUAACAGCAGUCGAAAAGCGGCCACCGUCCGAUGCGCUCCCAACGGCUCUGAUCUGGCGGAAUGGUCACACCACUCGGUGCGGUGCCGAACGCAUUUCUCCCAGCCCAGGUAGCCCGAGAUCCCCGCUUAUUCCCCGGCCGGAACAACGCAUCCAAGCUCCUCUCCGCUCCGGCGACGGCGACGGCGACGUGCCGGCGGUUACCUUCCUCCUCCUCCGUCGACCAAGAUCCACCAACGCGCGCACCGGCUCCUCUUAUUUCAGCUACGUCACAUCACCGAUUUCACACGCAAUGGAUGGGCAAAGCAGAAAGCACAGGAUUUUGAUGGUGUCCGACUUCUUCUUCCCAAACUUUGGUGGUGUGGAAAGCCACAUCUAUUAUCUAUCACAGUGCCUCCUUAAGCUUGGCCAUAAGGUUGUUGUCAUGACACAUGCAUAUGGAAAACGUUCUGGAGUACGAUAUGUUACUGGUGGCUUGAAGGUUUAUUAUGUGCCGUGGAGGCCAUUCCUGAUGCAGAAUACACUACCUACAUUAUUCAUGACAUUUCCAAUCAUAAGGACAAUUCUUAUUCGUGAGAGGAUAUCUGUUGUGCAUGGACAUCAGGCCUUUUCAACACUGUGCCACGAAGCGUUGAUGCAUGCUAGGACGAUGGGAUAUUGAUCAGGCCAUAUGUGUGUCUCACACAAGCAAAGAGAACACUGUCUUGAGGUCAGGGAUAUCUCCGGACAAAGUUUUCAUGGUUCCUAAUGCAGUGGAUACCGCAAUGUUUACUCCCUCCUCCAACCGCUUAAGCUGUGAUGAAAUCAUUAUUGUUGUGAUAAGUAGAUUGGUAUAUCGAAAAGGUGCUGACCUUCUUGUUGAAGUCAUUCCAGAAGUAUGCCGUCUAUUUCCAAAGGUUCGCUUUAUUGUUGGAGGUGAUGGUCCAAAACGUGUGCGACUUGAAGAGAUGAGGGAGAAGUUCUCCCUUCAGGAUAGAGUUGAGAUGUUAGGGGCUGUACCUCAUGCUCAAGUACGAUCUGUUCUGAUAUCUGGUCAUAUAUUUCUGAACAGUUCGCUUACAGAAGCAUUUUGCAUAGCCAUUCUGGAAGCAGCAAGCUGUGGGCUUUUGACAGUAAGCACUAGAGUCGGAGGGGUUCCAGAGGUUCUACCAGAUGACAUGAUAGUACUAGCAGAACCAGAUCCAGAAGAUAUGGUACGGGCUGUGAGGCAAGCUAUCGACAUACUUCCUGGUAUAGAUCCCCAAAUUAUGCAUCGCCGGAUGAAAAAACUCUACAGUUGGGAUGAUGUGGCCAAAAGAACAGAGAUUGUCUACGAUCGUGCAAUGCAGUCAUCAAACACUAAUUUGCUAGAUCGUCUUCCCCGAUACCUCACAUGUGGAGCUUGGGCAGGCAAACUGUUUUGCCUCGUUAUGAUCAUAAACUACCUUGUGUGGUGCCUUCUAGAAUUCCUGCAGCCUGCUGAAGGUAUCGAAGAAGUCCCAGAUAUAGGGCCACUGCACAUUCAUUCGGAUUCAGUAGAUGACCAGUGCGAAGCGCAACGAAAUUGAACUGUUUUGCAACCAUUGUGGCAUGGAUCGUAUUGGAGGUCGCGAUAUCUAUUUUAGGCUGGCUCUCACUCUGGAAUUUCUUUCAGUGUUUCCCGGUUCUGCAUUGACUGUUUUGAGAACAAGUCUUUGGCGAAUGGGAUAACUAUGAAAUCAUCUCGUCACACCAAAUACUGGAAUUUACAGUCGUGUUGCAUAAAGUUAGUGGUGUGAGUACUUAAUGCCAUUGCCAACUUUUCAUCUGAUGUGUCUCUUGUUCCAAUCCUUGGACAUCAGCUGCUUCUUGGUGCUAGUUUCUACCACUAGAGAUAUGACGGUCUUGGUGCUACUUAGUGAUCUAGACGCUCUUAUCUGCAGAUUGUAUACUUAUUGUUCAGUCAUUGACA